RNAcentral lists this long non-coding RNA (326 nucleotides) under Phascolarctos cinereus (koala). RNAcentral's name for it is "lncRNA (ENSPCIG00000033426.1)". Lineage: Eukaryota; Metazoa; Chordata; Mammalia; Diprotodontia; Phascolarctidae. The record is from RNAcentral.
UUUUGUCCGAAUUCCAGAAGAUAGAACAAUUCCUAACUGAAGAAAAGGAUAAGUAUCUCUCAUAUGUGGAAACACAGGGAAGGGCCAAUUUGGAUGGCCUACAGAACAGAAUAAGUAGACUUUCCAACCAGAGUCAAGAAUUAAGGAAGAGAAUCACAGAGUUAGAGGAGGAGUACAAGAAACCAGAUUUGGAUUUGCUCCAGGAUAUGAAAGGAGUGUUAACCAGGAAUGAAUCUGUGCUACAGAAAAAAAAAAUAGAAAACUUCCAUAUAAACAUGAUGCGCCAUUCCAUCUCUGGACUUAUAGAAAGGAUUUUCAGUUUCAAA